Molecule: small nuclear RNA, 22 nt
Filed under: Arabidopsis thaliana (thale cress)
Lineage: Eukaryota; Viridiplantae; Streptophyta; Magnoliopsida; Brassicales; Brassicaceae
Description: snRNA_18469
Source: RNAcentral
GAUCGUGGUCUGCAGCACGCGC